This 253-nucleotide ribosomal RNA is filed under the name uncultured bacterium. RNAcentral's name for it is "partial 16S ribosomal RNA". It matches the Rfam family "Bacterial small subunit ribosomal RNA", at positions 524 to 776 of the family's 1533-position model. The record is from RNAcentral.
UACGUAGGGUGCAAGCGUUGUCCGGAAUUAUUGGGCGUAAAGCGCGUGUAGGCGGUUCGGUAAGUCCGCUGUGAAAGUCGGGGGCUCAACCCUCGAAUGCCGGUGGAUACUGUCGGACUAGAGUACGGAAGAGGCGAGUGGAAUUCCUGGUGUAGCGGUGAAAUGCGCAGAUAUCAGGAGGAACACCAAUUGCGAAGGCAGCUCGCUGGGACGUUACUGACGCUGAGACGCGAAAGCGUGGGGAGCAAACAGG